GGUGAGUAACACGUGGAUAACCUACCUAUAAGACUGGGAUAACUACGGGAAACCGGAGCUAAUACCGGAUAAUAUAUUGAACCGCAUGGUUCAAUAGUGAAAGACGGUUUUGCUGUCACUUAUAGAUGGAUCCGCGCCGCAUUAGCUAGUUGGUAAGGUAACGGCUUACCAAGGCAACGAUGCGUAGCCGACCUGAGAGGGUGAUCGGCCACACUGGAACUGAGACACGGUCCAG
Molecule: ribosomal RNA, 235 nt
Filed under: uncultured Staphylococcus sp.
Lineage: Bacteria; Bacillati; Bacillota; Bacilli; Caryophanales; Staphylococcaceae
Description: partial 16S ribosomal RNA
Rfam family: Bacterial small subunit ribosomal RNA
Source: RNAcentral